Molecule: unclassified non-coding RNA, 611 nt
Filed under: Hevea brasiliensis (rubber tree)
Lineage: Eukaryota; Viridiplantae; Streptophyta; Magnoliopsida; Malpighiales; Euphorbiaceae
Source: RNAcentral
UUGUCAAUGAGACAAUGAGAUUAUAUCCUCCAGUACCACUUCUAUUGCCUCAUUAUUCAACGGAAGAUUGUACUGUGGGAGGAUAUGAUGUACCAAAACAUACAAUGCUUCUUAUCAACGCUUGGGCGGUCCACCGUGAUCCCAAAGUAUGGGAUGAUCCUGAAAAGUUCAAGCCAGAGAGAUUUGAGGCUACACAAGGGGAAACAGAAAGGUUUAAUUACAAACUUAUACCAUUUGGAAUGGGGAGAAGAGCAUGUCCUGGUACUGAUAUGGGAUUACGAGCCGUUUCGUUGGCGUUAGGUGCUCUUAUUCAAUGCUUUGAGUGGCAAAUUGAGGAAGAGGAAAGUUUGGAAGCAAGUUAUCAUGCUAGAAUGAGUAUGCAGAACAAGCCUUUGAAGGCUAUAUGCACGCCGCGCAAAGAUCUUGUUGACCUUCUGUCCCAACUUUGAGACACUUUUAUGUAUACUAAGAUCACUCUGCUGCAAAUGUUGUAAAGUUGAAUCAUGAUUAUGUGACAAAUAAGAAAAUAGAUGCAAGGUUAUGUAAUGCUCAAGAGAAGAUUGAUUUGUUAUAAGGUGUUUUGGCUCUCUUAGUAGUAUUUUGGGAAAUAA